GGAAGUAAAAGUCGUAACAAGGUUUCCGUAGGUGAACCUGCGGAAGGA
This 48-nucleotide ribosomal RNA is filed under the name Salix matsudana. RNAcentral's name for it is "partial 18S ribosomal RNA". It matches the Rfam family "Eukaryotic small subunit ribosomal RNA", at positions 1778 to 1825 of the family's 1831-position model. Lineage: Eukaryota; Viridiplantae; Streptophyta; Magnoliopsida; Malpighiales; Salicaceae. The record is from RNAcentral.